Molecule: signal recognition particle RNA, 103 nt
Filed under: [Eubacterium] yurii subsp. margaretiae ATCC 43715
Lineage: Bacteria; Bacillati; Bacillota; Clostridia; Peptostreptococcales; Filifactoraceae
Also listed under: 1 other name
Description: Bacterial signal recognition particle RNA
Rfam family: Bacterial small signal recognition particle RNA
About the family: The signal recognition particle (SRP) is a universally conserved ribonucleoprotein involved in the co-translational targeting of proteins to membranes. Archaeal SRP consists of a 7S RNA and homologues of the eukaryotic SRP19 and SRP54 proteins.
Source: RNAcentral
GAUCGGGGUCUUGUGCAAUGUAGAUUUACGAACCCCGUCAGGUCUUGAUCGAAGCAGCGGUAAGUAAAACCCUGCAUGUGAUACAAGGGUGCCUCGGUUGAGU